GAUGAACGCUGGCGGCGUGCCUAACACAUGCAAGUCGAACGGAGAUUAUUGACGGAAGUUUUCGGAUGGAAGACGGUAAUCUUAGUGGCGGACGGGUGAGUAACGCGUGGGUAACCUGCCCCGUACAGGGGGAUAGCGUCGGGAAACUGACGGUAAGACCGCAUAGGACCACAUAUUCGCAUGGAUAAGUGGUGAAAAGGGAAACCUGGUAUGGGAUGGACCCGCGUCCGAUUAGCCAGUUGGCAGGGUAAAGGCCUACCAAAGCUUCGAUCGGUAGCCGGACUGAGAGGUCGGACGGCCACAUUGGGACUGAGACACGGCCCAGACUCCUACGGGAGGCAGCAGUGGGGGAUAUUGCACAAUGGAGGAAACUCUGAUGCAGCGACGCCGCGUGAGUGAAGAAGUGCUCCGGCAUGUAAAGCUCUUUCAGCAGGGAAGAUGAUGACGGUACCUGAAUAAGAAGCCCCGGCUAACUACGUGCCAGCAGCCGCGGUAAUACGUAGGGGGCAAGCGUUAUCCGGAUUUACUGGGUGUAAAGGGAGCGCAGGCAGUCUGGCAAGUUGAGAGUGGAAGCAGGGGGCUCAACCCCCUGACUGCUCCCAAAACUGUUGGACUGGAGUAUGGGAGAGGCAGGCGGAAUUCCUAGUGUAGCGGUGAAAUGCUCAGAUAUUAGGAAGAACACCGGUGGCGAAGGCGGCCUGCUGGACCGAAACUGACGCUGAGGCUCGAGAGCGUGGGGAGCGAACAGG
This 749-nucleotide ribosomal RNA is filed under the name uncultured Lachnospiraceae bacterium. RNAcentral describes it as "bacterial SSU rRNA". It matches the Rfam family "Bacterial small subunit ribosomal RNA", at positions 28 to 776 of the family's 1533-position model. Lineage: Bacteria; Bacillati; Bacillota; Clostridia; Lachnospirales; Lachnospiraceae. The record is from RNAcentral.